Molecule: ribosomal RNA, 467 nt
Filed under: uncultured bacterium
Lineage: Bacteria
Description: bacterial SSU rRNA
Rfam family: Bacterial small subunit ribosomal RNA
Source: RNAcentral
CGCUGGCGGCAUGCCUUACACAUGCAAGUCGAACGGCAGCACGGGGCAACCUGGUGGCGAGUGGCGAACGGGUGAGUAACAUAUCGGAACGUACCCAAGAGUGGGGGAUAACGUAGCGAAGGUUACGCUAAUACCGCAUACGAUCUAAGGAUGAAAGCAGGGAAUCGCAAGACCUUGUGCUCCUGGAGCGGCCGAUAUCUGAUUAGCUAGUUGGUGGGGUAAAGGCCCACCAAGGCAACGAUCAGUAGCUGGUCUGAGAGGACGACCAGCCACACUGGAACUGAGACACGGUCCAGACUCCUACGGGAGGCAGCAGUGGGGAAUUUUGGACAAUGGGGGCAACCCUGAUCCAGCAAUGCCACGUGAGUGAAGAAGGCCUUCGGGUUGUAAAGCUCUUUUGUCAGGGAAGAAAAGGUCGCAGCUAAUAUCUGUGGCUCAUGACGGUACCUGAAGAAUAAGCACCGGCU